Molecule: ribosomal RNA, 497 nt
Filed under: uncultured bacterium
Lineage: Bacteria
Description: partial 16S ribosomal RNA
Rfam family: Bacterial small subunit ribosomal RNA
Source: RNAcentral
GACGAGCGCUGGCGGCGUGCCUAAUACAUGCAAGUUGAGCGAUGAAGAUUGGUGCUUGCACCAAUUUGAAGAGCAGCGAACGGGUGAGUAACGCGUGGGGAAUCUGCCUUUGAGCGGGGGACAACAUUUGGAAACGAAUGCUAAUACCGCAUAAUAACUUUAAACAUAAGUUUUAAGUUUGAAAGAUGCAAUUGCAUCACUCAAAGAUGAUCCCGCGUUGUAUUAGCUAGUUGGUGAGGUAAAGGCUCACCAAGGCGAUGAUACAUAGCCGACCUGAGAGGGGGGACGGCCAAAAUUGGAACGAGACCACGCCCCAACCUCCAAGGGAGGCAACCGGAGGGAAUCUUCGGCAAUGGACGAAAGUCUGACCGAGCAACGCCGCGUGAGUGAAGAAGGUUUUCGGAUCGUAAAACUCUGUUGGUAGAGAAGAACGUUGGUGAGAGUGGAAAGCUCAUCAAGUGACGGUAACUACCCAGAAAGGGACGGCUAACUACGUG